This 728-nucleotide long non-coding RNA is filed under the name Rattus norvegicus (Norway rat). Its description in RNAcentral is "long non-coding RNA NONRATT026178". Lineage: Eukaryota; Metazoa; Chordata; Mammalia; Rodentia; Muridae. The record is from RNAcentral.
CUGGGAUGAAACACCAUGACCAAAAAGCAAGCUGGGGAGGAAGGAAGGCAUUUACUCAGCUUACACUUCUACAUUGCUGUUCAUCACCGAAGGAAGUCAGGACAGGAACUCACACAGGGCAGGGAUCUGGACACAAGAACCUGGAGUCAGGAGCUGAUGCAGAGGCCAUGGAGGGGUGCUGCUUACUGGCUUACUCCUCAUGGUUUGCUGAGCCUGCUUUCUUAUAGAACCCAGGACCUCCACCCCAGGGAUGGCCCCACCCACCAUGGGCUGGGUCCUCCUCCAUUGACCACUGAUUGGAAAAUACCUCACAGCUGGAUCUCACGGAGGCAUUUCCUCAACUGAGGCUCCUUCCUCUCUGUUGACUCUAGCUUGUGUCAAGUUGACACACAACCAGCCAUGACAGUGCCCAAUCUUCAGUUUUAGGGGAAGCAACCAGUGAUGAGAUUUGUAUGUAAAUCACGAAAGUAGCUCCCUCUUUUCAGCUGCUGAGCAGGCCAGGGCCUUCAGAAAGGCACAGGCAGUGCUUUAGUGCCCCAUGUUCCUAUGACCUGUGGAUUCUUCCCUCAGGAGCUGGCAGGCUACACUGGAGGAGAUGUGAGCUUCAUCAAGGAAGACUUUGAGCUUCAGCUGAAUAAGCCGCUUGUAUUGGAUUCGGUGUUCUCCACGUCCCUCUGGGGUGGAAUGCUGGUGCCCAUCGGUGACAAGCUAUCCAGCAUUGCUGACAG